Molecule: ribosomal RNA, 440 nt
Filed under: uncultured bacterium
Lineage: Bacteria
Description: partial 16S ribosomal RNA
Rfam family: Bacterial small subunit ribosomal RNA
Source: RNAcentral
CCUACGGGCGGCAGCAGUGGGGAAUAUUGCACAAUGGGGGAAACCCUGAUGCAGCGACGCCGCGUGAGUGAAGAAGGAAUUCGUUAUGUAAAGCUCUAUCAGCAGGGAAGAAAAUGACGGUACCUAAGUAAGAAGCCCCGGAUAACUACGUGACAGCAGCCGCGGUAAUACGUAGGGGGAAAGCGGUAUCCGGAUGUAAUGGGUGUAACGGGAGCGUAGACGGCAGUGCAAGUCUGGAGGGAAAGGCGGGGGCUCAAACCGCGGACUGCUCUGGAGACUGUACGGCUGGAGUGCAGGAGAGGUAAGUAGAAUUCCUAGUGUAGCGGUGAAAUGCGUAGAGAUUAGGAGGAACACCAGUGGCGAAGGCGGCUUACUGGACUGUAACUGACGUUGAGGCUCGAAAGCGUGGGGAGCAAACAGGAUUAGAUACCCGAGUAGUC